Molecule: ribosomal RNA, 497 nt
Filed under: uncultured bacterium
Lineage: Bacteria
Description: partial 16S ribosomal RNA
Rfam family: Bacterial small subunit ribosomal RNA
Source: RNAcentral
GAUGAACGCUGGCGGCGUGCCUAAUACAUGCAAGUCGAGCGAACAGAUAAGGAGCUUGCUCCUUUGACGUUAGCGGCGGACGGGUGAGUAACACGUGGGUAACCUACCUAUAAGACUGGGAUAACUUCGGGAAACCGGAGCUAAUACCGGAUAACAUUUGGAACCGCAUGGUUCUAAAGUGAAAGAUGGUUUUGCUGUCACUUAUAGAUGGACCCGCGCCGUAUUAGCUAGUUGGUAAGGUAACGGCUUACCAAGGCGACGAUACGUAGCCGACCUGAGAGGGUGAUCGGCCACACUGGAACUGAGACACGGUCCAGACUCCUACGGGAGGCAGCAGUAGGGAAUCUUCCGCAAUGGGCGAAAGCCUGACGGAGCAACGCCGCGUGAGUGAUGAAGGGUUUCGGCUCGUAAAACUCUGUUAUUAGGGAAGAACAAAUGUGUAAGUAACUGUGCACGUCUUGACGGUACCUAAUCAGAAAGCCACGGCUAACUACGUG